AUAAGUGUUUUCCCCAGAACACCUCUGACUCCCCUAAAGUAUGAUCCGGUAACACCGUUAGCAUCCAUUAGUCUUGUGAUCUUUUGAUUUGAGGAUUUAGGGCAAGGACGCUGGCCAUUAUAUCUCCUGUUUAGACAUUGGAGAAACCAAGGCUUCCAUUCAUAAUUAAGACUGGUCAAUGGGGCCUUCACAGUACUUACCAAGCAGCCCUUGGUUAAGGUCCCUGUCAACUCAAGCACUGUCCAGACACCAGCUUAUUUCCUGUUGCCCUCUGCUAGCAAGAACAACGUGAGGUCUCCCAGUGACCGGUAUAUCGUGCCACCUCUGAUUGCGAUGGUGCAGCCUGAAUGAACCUCCCUGUGAUUCAGAAGCCGAUGGGCCCACGUGUCAUUACAGAAAGUAUAAGUAGAGCACAGAAGUUUUGACAUGGAUCGUAACCACAGAGUCAGAGGGAUUCUCCAAAGACCCAUCUCGUGGAAAUCAGUUGGCCAAGAGGAUCUGGACCCGCUGAUGCCCCUCCAGGCCAGUAUCCGUCAGAGUGCCGUUCUGGUGGCUGUCCCUGUCCGCAUCCAGCCAGUGGGUCCAGCUUAAAGACAGCCCUCUUCCGCGAAGCGUUUCCCUAAUCCUCCAGUUGGGACUCAUUACUUUCCACUUGUCUCUGAACCACUUUGGGCCUGUGUUCUACUGCGUUUCAUUCUGCUUCAUAGGGACUGCCUCCAGAGACGGUAUUCUCACAGCUGAGCCCGACGUAACUUGCUCUGAAUUACAGCAGAAACAAGCUCACGCUGUCAAUUAAUAGUCUCUUGCAUCCGCCUGAGUGUCUGUGUCCCUCCGUUGGGGAGCUCGCUGGGGCCUGCAUGCCUACGUGAGCAGACAGCUGCUUUUCUCACGCUCUCGCCUUUCAUCAUGGCAAGAAACUACGUGAAAGUAACUUGAGCUCUGCUGAGGAUCAGAAAAGUCAAGGAGCCUGCUCCAAGUGACCCAGCGGCAUAUGGCGGAGUCCUGAUCCAUCGGUAGCUAGAUCUACCUAUCUGUUCACUCUUGGGGUAUUUUUGGAGUGCCUGCUGUGUGUUAUUCACUGUUCCUGGUACCGAGGACAUAAUAGUGAGCCGGACAGGCCCAAUACUGGUUCCCUCGCCGAGCUUCCAGCCUCCCGAGGAUGACUGACAAAUAAGCAAUUGUAAUUGUGUCACAACACAUGAGUGUGCUGUGGUAAAGGCAUUCCGGGCAGGAAAACAGCCUCAGCUAAGGCCCAGGGACAAAAAAGAACAAGGCGCUUUUGGGGAACCGAAAGGAAUUCACUAAAGGGUCAAGCGUCAUAUAAUAUUAAAGGCACAGGUGGGGGACUGCCGGCUCUUGGGGCGAGGGGCCACGAUCUCUGCUGGGGGAGAGUUAGGUUGAGUUGGAGUUUAUUUGACAAAUCGUGCUGUUGGACUCUGACGUUUUCCAAAGCAGUAAUAACAGCUUCUAAGGAUAAUUAUGUUUCAUUAUUUCUCUGAUUACAAUUGUUCAAAAAAACAACGGGACUCAAGGUUUCUCCAGGGUCGUUCUACGUCCCUAUGCCUGAACCGGACAGAGCCGCAGCUCUGACUGGGUCACAGCACAUCGUGUUCACCAAAGAAGUUACCAAGACAACACGCAGCAUGUGUAUGUGGUCCCAGUGCCAGGUCCUGAUGUCCCAGAGGGGCAAAGCAUCUCUCUUAGUAACGUAGGUUGACCUUGACCACCUAACACUCUGUGCCAGACUGUGUUCUCGAGGUAAACACGUACUGACUCAUCAAGUCUGUGUGACAACACUAUGAAGUAGGAGCAAUUACUCGUCAUGCUUCAGAUGAGAAAUCGAGGCCUAGAGAGCUGAAAUAAACAAGACACCGGUGCUCUCACACAACGAGUCGACGCCAGAGCCCAUCUGUAACCCCGGGCAGCGCGGCCCCGGAGUCUGCGCACUGCCUCACAGUCCUGGUCCCUCCCCUCCCUCCAACUGUUGGAAGUAUAUCCCAAUUGCCAGAAGUUCACGAAAUCAUCUCUUUAAGUUAUGGAAGAUAAGCCAUAGUUCCAUCUUUUGGCAGUUCGUGAAUUAAAACCAUUUAUGGACAACCUCGUGGAUAAAUCUACCACCUCCCACACUCGCCUGAGCGCUGUUGACUCAUUACCUGUACGCCUUUGCCAAACGCCCAGUUCCCGUAAAGCUCGUUGCUGUCAGCGGAGCAGUGAGCAAAGGCAUCACGCUUGAACCUUGCCUCCCCGGAAGCAGAGUCUCUGCCUGUAGGUGGGUGCGUUUUCACUCCAGCCUGAACCCUCGCUCCUCCUCGGGGAGCUUCAGAAAGGCUCGGCCUAAGGUGGGUGAUGCUGACUCUGGGGCAGCCUUUUGUUCCCAGCGAAGCAACUUAGGGUUCAUUACAUGAUCAUGUCCCACCCUAGGAGAUUCUAAUUUAGUGGCUCGGGGAAGAAAACAUUCCAUGGGUAAUUAUGAUAUAUGGCUGAAACUGAGAACCUCUAGAUCUGGUCAGUCAGAUGAGGGUCAAUCUGCCUGGUUAAUGGCGAAAGGUAAGGCACCAAUAAUAAUGGCAUGAUGAUGAUGAUAAUGAUAAAUUAGCUGAAUGAGGGAAUAAAGUAAUGCUUCUACAAAGCCUUGGGAUUUAAAUGCUCCCAGACUAUUUGGCUAUUUCAUUAGAAGCAAACAUUGUUUGCUGCCUUUGCUGGGCCAAAGUCUUGUCAACUAUUUUGCUUCUUCAACUGCAUCUCUUAUGGACCUGGGACCUCUUUGUCCCUUACCCAUAAUCGACUUGCAGCUUUGUGCCUCUUGGUCCAUCUUCCCUCCAGGUUUUAUUCAGAUUGCUCCCUAGUGUUCCUUCUUUCUAUAUUUAUGCAGUGCUUAGUUUGACUGUUUACCUUGGGGUUAGUGGUUACUCCCCAGUUCUGCUUUUAUCUGUAUAAGGAAUUUCUGCCUCUCUUGUUACAUUAGCCUAAGUCAGUCUGAUGCCCCGGAGAUGCUGUGACCAUCAUUUUCAUCAUUGCCAACAGGAAUCACUGGUAGAGAAGUUAAGGCAGGGAAGAAGUUUAGUUUGGAUGCAGAGAACAACUUUGUGUGAAAGAGCAAGACAGACAUGUAAGCCAUCUUUAUAUUUCCGAAAUUCAUAAAAAUAAGAUAGACAACGUCUUUUGAGGACACUGUGGAUAUUUUGCUGAAAAAUGAGAGAAAGCACUAAGGACCAUUCCAAGUUCCUUGUUAUUACAUUAUUAUAAUGAUUAGCAUUGUUACUGUGAAAAUGAUACAAUUUUUUUUCCUGUUGGGUGCUGAUUUAAAUCUUGAUGAAUCUUUCCGUGUAUUGUGUGUAAAUCUUGAGCAUUAUUCACGUCUGAUCGUGUCUCAAUUCCCUCCUGCCCUCCCUUCUUCCUUCCAUGCAUAUAUAUUUCCAGGAAAUACAAGAUUUAAAAAAAAAAAUUACCACCAACACAAAAACAAAAAACCCCUUGGCUUUAAUACAUAUCUGGUUCAACUGGAAAUAUGAAGAACUAUAAUUUCAUUGCUGUGGCCUAAUUUUUUUCCAUGCCAUUUAAAACCAACAAGUUAUAAUUUUGAAAAAUAUCAGAAGGGCAAAGUGCAUCAGCUCUUUCAUCUUACGUUAAUAGGAAGAAGCCCCACACGACAUCCUGAUAGCAGGACCUCUGUGAUUCCAGCAUUUCUUCAUUAAGGGAGAGAUAUUUACAUAGCAUGGCGGCGACCAAAUCAUGCUUUAGGACGAGUGCUACAGCAAUGGGCCCUGAAGGAGAAGCGCCCAGUCGCUAUUUUGCUUGUACUGCCCCAAAUGCAAAGGGCUGCAGUUGAAGAAGCAAAAUAGUCUGAAGUAAAAUUAUACCAUAAUGGCUUGUAAUUAACAGCAGAAUCCAUGUAUGAAAUCUAAUGUAAUAUAAGCCCUCAAAUAAGUGUUAACUUUGAGAUGCAAGAGAGGGGGUUUGUCUUUUUAAAACACAUCCUGGCCAUCAUUUAACAGGCCAUGUUAGAGGCACCCAUCACACUGUUGCUCUAUUACUACCGGGAAUCUUCGAGUCUGCUUACUCCCGGUCAGGUUCCGAAAGGUGUCUCCACUGUUGGGACAGUCCUGUUGUGGAUGACAGGCUCAAACGUUACUCGAUGCAUUAGAAUGUUAGGCUGAAAUUGCACAGCGUGUCUGGGACUCCAAAACUAAACCUCGUUUGCAUUUGGGAUGGCUGUAAAAUAAAUAUGAAAGCUUAAAAUUCAUAAUCAGAACUCUCUAAGUCCUUUAAACCUUUUUCGUGCUUGAAGCUACUGAAGUACCUUUGGGAAAAUAUAGCUCCUUAAUUUUCGGCAUUUAUAAGUAACCUCAGUUCGGUCGUACAAUAUGUACACUGCUCCCAACUUUAGUCAAUGCAAAAAUCAGUGUUCUCUGAAGGAUGAACACAUGUCAUGAACUCAAAUAUUAGUUUAAAGUCACUAAUAACAACCAGGAAGAGAAAAGGAGUUACGUGUCACGAAAUCUGUGACUCUCUGAGAUUUCACAGGUCAACGGGUUGGAUUUACCUGUUCUUCAUACCAGCUGUGCCCUAAGGACAGUUGUGACUAUUACUUCAGUAGCUAGGAAAUAGGUGUGUUCGAGAGCCAUUAUAUAGAGAGAAAAGCAUGAAAAUAUGCAAUAAAAGUACAAAUCAUCUUAAAGGACUAUUAUGAUGUGGGAAAUGAUUAUUUAAGAUAUACACACAUUUUCAGGUAUUAUUAAAGUGUAAUUUCCCCCCAGAUUUUUGAAACAUCCCCUAAGCACCAAAAGUUUAAAAUAGAAUUUUUGAGUGUUCAUUUUGUUGAACUUUUUGAUAGUCAUCUUUUAAAAUUGAUUUACAUACUCCUGUGUAUUGCAUGUAAUUUAACAUUUUAAUGAACCAGUUUGAGUGUCAGAAUUGAGGGGCUGAGAGUUAAGCGGUAGAAUCAGAAACAAGGAAACAGUAUCUUCUCGCUCCCCAAGCCCUGCCCUUUGUCCUCUGUACCGUGCAUCAGGCUUUCUAGGGUGGGCAUGAAGAUACUGUCUUUGAUCCCCUCCCCUGCCAAUCGACUCUGCUAUGUGGACGCCUCUGCAAAUGCCUGCUCUUUUUCUUCACCAAUAACUCUACCGGAGUUCAGGUCAUUAAUAUCUCUUGGCUAGAUGGUAGAAAGAGUUGUUUGGUUUUAUUUUUUUUUAACUGGUGUCCCUACCUUUAUGUAGUCUGACCACCCUGAAGUCCAUUCUCCAUUUUAUAUCCAUUUUACAGCCAGAGUGAUCCUUCUAAAAAUGCACAUCCAUCGGAUCUAACCAUUCCUCUGCUUGAAAACCCUUCAAUGGCUUCCUAUUGCUCUUAGAAUAAAACCCAAUUCCUUAAUGUAGCCUCCUUACAGACCCUUCAUGAUUUAAUCUCUCGGCCCUUUUUUUUUGGGGGGGGGGUCUGCUUGAUCUAGCUGUGUCUGAUAGAUUGUUAAAAUCUCCCACUCAGAUGGUAGGCUUGUCAAUUUCUCUUUGUAAUUCUGAUGGUUUUGCUUUCCGUAAUUGAAAGCAAUGUUAUUAGGUACCUUCAGCUUCUCGGUAGUGACCCUCUUUAUUUCUAUUAAUACAUGUGGCGUAAAUGACUAUUUUUGUCUGAUAUUAAUAAUGCUUCAUCAGCUUUUUGUUAGUAUUUUGAUAAUUUAUCUUUUUUUAUCCCCUUAUGUCCAGUAUUUCUGGGGUUUAGUUUUGUGUCUUUUGCUAGCAUUAUAUACCUGAAUAUUACUUUAAAUGGAUCUGAUAAUCUUUCUUUUAAUAAAUGAUUUAAAUCUA
Molecule: long non-coding RNA, 5801 nt
Organism: Pteropus alecto (black flying fox)
Lineage: Eukaryota; Metazoa; Chordata; Mammalia; Chiroptera; Pteropodidae
Exons: 6
Source: RefSeq, a predicted model, not a curated record